Molecule: long non-coding RNA, 222 nt
Filed under: Lathyrus oleraceus (garden pea)
Lineage: Eukaryota; Viridiplantae; Streptophyta; Magnoliopsida; Fabales; Fabaceae
Description: Pisum sativum (pea) long non-coding RNA (PSAT_LNC028424)
Source: RNAcentral
GAAAAAGAGACAGAACGUGGAAAAGGGCAAAAAGAGAACCAGAGAACAAGGGAUUGAAGGGAGGAAAAGCUUGAAGCUGCAGAAUUUGCCGGAUUAACUCAGGUAAGGGGGGUUUAUCGUUGAUUAACGGGUAUUGUAUGAUAAUAUGUCAUGGGUAGUGAUAGACCUUUAAUUUACCUUUGAAUUGGAUGAUUAUGAUGAAUUUGUGGAAAUAAUUGAUGA